ACGCGCACAAAGGUCACGGGACGUCUGCAACUGAGACGCGGGGCGAUCCCUACGCUGUUCUUACCGACGGCAACAGCAGCAAGUGCAACAUCAUUGCUGCCAAGGGGAUCAAAACUGAAAAGGCUAGCAGCUGCGUCUAGCAGUGACAGCCCUGCUGGAGGCUCCAUUUCACAACCGGCAGAAGCGUGGCAAGGGCAAGCGGCUGCACAUGGAUCCUGCGAUGCUAGUCAAGGAGCUGGACCAGAUGUACGAAGCCUUUGUACCAUUCUG
Ixodes scapularis (black-legged tick) is the source of this 270-nucleotide long non-coding RNA. RefSeq lists it as uncharacterized. Lineage: Eukaryota; Metazoa; Arthropoda; Arachnida; Ixodida; Ixodidae. The record is from RefSeq and is a predicted model, not a curated record. The transcript is spliced from 3 exons.